RNAcentral lists this ribosomal RNA (384 nucleotides) under uncultured bacterium. RNAcentral's name for it is "bacterial SSU rRNA". It matches the Rfam family "Bacterial small subunit ribosomal RNA", at positions 28 to 410 of the family's 1533-position model. The record is from RNAcentral.
GACGAACGCUGGCGGCGUGCCUAACACAUGCAAGUCGAACGGAGAUAUGAUUUCGGUUGUAUCUUAGUGGCGAACGGGUGAGUAACGCGUGAACAACCUGACUCUAAGAGGGGGAUAACACUCGGAAACGGGUGCUAAAUACCGCAUAAGACCACGACCUGGCAUCAGGAUGAGGUCAAAGGAGCAAUCCGCUGAGAGAGGGGUUCGCGUCCAUUAGAUAGAUGGCGGGGUAACGGCCCACCAUGUCAACGAUGGGUAGCCGAGCUGAGAGGCUGAUCGGCCACACUGGAACUGAGACACGGUCCAGACUCCUACGGGAGGCAGCAGUGGGGAAUAUUGGGCAAAUGGGCGCAAGCCUGACCCAGCAACGCCGCGUGAGGGAAG